Molecule: long non-coding RNA, 156 nt
Organism: Triticum dicoccoides
Lineage: Eukaryota; Viridiplantae; Streptophyta; Magnoliopsida; Poales; Poaceae
Exons: 3
Source: RefSeq, a predicted model, not a curated record
AAGGGAAUUAACAACACAUCCAAUUGGACCUUCGAUAUUCCCGGGGUCAUUCGAUCAUACAACGGAAUUAACAACAAAUCUGAUUGGACAUUCAGAAUUUCCCGGGUCAUCAAAUCCGAAUGCUUGUUUUCAAAAUAUAGCUCCAUCAUUGGCGAC